CAACCCUCAAGCCUGGCUUGGUGAUGGGGCACUGCUUUUACCUAAAAGCAGGCCCUGAAAUUCAGUGGCGAGCUCGCCAGGACCCCGAGCGCAGUAGUUAAACCCUCGCUCUGGAAGGCCCUGGCGGUGCCCUGCCGUUAAACCCCCAACUUUUGAAA
This 158-nucleotide unclassified non-coding RNA is filed under the name uncultured Phomopsis. RNAcentral describes it as "sequence contains ITS2". The record is from RNAcentral. Lineage: Eukaryota; Fungi; Ascomycota; Sordariomycetes; Diaporthales; Cytosporaceae.